Molecule: ribosomal RNA, 479 nt
Filed under: uncultured bacterium
Lineage: Bacteria
Description: bacterial SSU rRNA
Rfam family: Bacterial small subunit ribosomal RNA
Source: RNAcentral
AUUGAACGCUGGCGGCAGGCCUAACACAUGCAAGUCGAGCGGUAACAGGAAAUAGCUUGCUAUUUUGCUGACGAGCGGCGGACGGGUGAGUAACGCGUAGGAAUUUGCCCAGUAGUGGGGGAUAGCCCGGAGAAAUUCGGAUUAAUACCGCAUACGCCCUAAGGGGGAAAGCAGGGGAUCUUCGGACCUUGCGCUAUUGGAUAAGCCUGCGUGAGAUUAGCUAGUUGGUGAGGUAAGGGCUCACCAAGGCGACGAUCUCUAGCUGGUCUGAGAGGAUGAUCAGCCACACUGGAACUGAGACACGGUCCAGACUCCUACGGGAGGCAGCAGUGGGGAAUAUUGCACAAUGGGCGAAAGCCUGAUGCAGCCAUGCCGCGUGUGUGAAGAAGGCUCUAGGGUUGUAAAGCACUUUAAGCGAGGAGGAAGGUUUUAGUUAAUACACUAAAGAAUUGACGCUACUCGCAGAAUAAGCACCGGCU